GAAAUGAAACAAAUCUUGUUUAGUUUAAAAUAUAAUCAUUUUUGCCAUUUACGAAGUUUACACCUGUCCCAGUAUAAAAAGUAUACUGGUAUCGCUUAAUAAUUUAAACUUAGGCAAAUUAACGCGACAAUAUUUUAUCCUGUGUAUAAGCCAUGUUAGACGUUAGAAAUUUACUCUGAUCGCAACCAAAAAAAAUGUAACUUCGGUCCACCUCCAUUUUCAACAUUUUUGGUGAAAUAACGAGUCAUUUUUUUACUUUUUUAGUGGAAUUUAUUUAACAGCAGAACAAUUUACCCGAAGUUUGCUCUGCAAAUGCAUCGACUUGGAGAAAAACGCAUCCGAAUGAAAGAGUCUCCACCGGAAUACGAGUAACAUCACGAGUGCAGUCAACCAUCCCACUAAAGUCGAUCCUCAGCUGGCGCUGAGGAGCACAGCCUGCCACAUCCGGAAGUGCAACAAUCCAAUGACCAUCCCGGAGCACGUAAGAUGCAUCAUCAGUAAUAAUAGGAAGCGCAAGGCUCCGAGAAAGACGUUCCGGAGAAACCACGGCAAAAGCGAGGACAAUGAUGCAGCAGACUAUGUAGCGCACACCAAUCAUCCGGAAGAGGAGGAAUCCGGUGAGGAAUCGAUGAUGCCCAAGCGUUGUGAGCCGAACACCCGUCCAAAAUUCUAUCGUACAAGGCUUUUUUCGUGCAUAGGCGAGGGUUCUGGGACGCUUCCGGAGAUUCUUGCGAUCUGCAUGCCGGAAAUCAAAAUCUGGAUGACGAAGUUUUUUUUUUCAGAAAUUUUCGAAAACCCCAAGUCACUAUGCUGUUGCCCACCAGCUCCGUUCGAAGGAAACUACAAUAAUUUUAUUAAAUAAUAAAUAAAACAGAGUUACAUCUCUU
Molecule: long non-coding RNA, 887 nt
Organism: Aedes albopictus (Asian tiger mosquito)
Lineage: Eukaryota; Metazoa; Arthropoda; Insecta; Diptera; Culicidae
Exons: 2
Source: RefSeq, a predicted model, not a curated record